AUUGAGCGCUGGCGGCAUGCCUUACACAUGCAAGUCGAACGGUAACAGGUUAAGCUGACGAGUGGCGAACGGGUGAGUAAUAUAUCGGAACGUGCCCAGUCGUGGGGGAUAACGUAGCGAAAGCUACGCUAAUACCGCAUACGAUCUACGGAUGAAAGCGGGGGAUCGCAAGCCUUCGCGCGAUUGGAGCGGCCGAUAUCAGAUUAGGUUGUUGGUGAGGUAAAAGCUUACCAAGCCUGCGAUCUGUAGCUGGUCUGAGAGUACGACCAGUCACACUGGAACUGAGACACGGUCCAGACUCCUACGGGGGGCAGCAGUGGGGAAUUUUGGACAAUGGACGCAAGUCUGAUCCAGCAAUGCCGCGUGCAGGACGAAGGCCUUCGGGUUGUAAACUGCUUUUGUACGGAACGAAACGGUGAGCUCUAAUACAGUUUGCUAAUGACGGUACCGUAAGAAUAAGCACCGGCUAACUACGUGCCAGCCGCCGCGGUAA
This 493-nucleotide ribosomal RNA is filed under the name uncultured bacterium. Its description in RNAcentral is "partial 16S ribosomal RNA". It matches the Rfam family "Bacterial small subunit ribosomal RNA", at positions 30 to 523 of the family's 1533-position model. The record is from RNAcentral.